Molecule: long non-coding RNA, 473 nt
Filed under: Serinus canaria (Common canary)
Lineage: Eukaryota; Metazoa; Chordata; Aves; Passeriformes; Fringillidae
Description: lncRNA (ENSSCAG00000016461.1)
Source: RNAcentral
GGGCAUGAGGCUGAGCAGAACUUCACUGGCCUUUGGUACCCUCACGAAGAGGGUGUAACUGAGACACAGCAAACGCUUCCUCCUGCGGGCAGCUGAGCCCAGGGAAGGGAGAAAAGAGAAUGCAGAGGUGACAGAGAGGGGAGCUGUUGGAAGUGAGCUGAAGCUGAAAUGAAUUCCUACUGCAUGCAGUUUGAACACUUGAUGGAUUUCCAGCUAUCUUGUGCCACCCCGUGUAAGAGAUGGGAAAUUACACGACUUUGUGACCUGAGUUUGGCAUUGGAGUCCUGCAGAUGAUAUUUCCGCAUUUUGAAUACACUUUUCAUUUUAUCAGCAACUGAAGAACAUUUUAAAAAGUACUGAAAGUAUUAAAUAUGACAAUUUUUCUUAAAACAUUAUUUCUUUAUACUUAAGCUAGCUCUACCUUUACAUUUGUAACUUACAUAUGAUAAUGUAUACAGCCCUCAGGCCAUCUG